ACUCUUAUGCUAUGUUUGUAUUGAGGAUUUCAUUUGGACUAAAUACAUGAAUAUUAUAAAUGAGAAUGAAUUUGAAUUUGGUCCAAAUCAGCUUAAAAACUAAAUACUUAAAAUAACCAUUUUUGCUUUAUCAUUUCAGCUCCAUUCCAGUAUAAUUAAAUAUAUAUCACAACUUCGCAUUUCCAUAGAAAUCAUUUUUAUUAAUUAAAUAAAAAAUUUUUAAAUUUAUAAACUUCAAAUUCUAAAUUUUAA
RNAcentral lists this unclassified non-coding RNA (252 nucleotides) under Hevea brasiliensis (rubber tree). Lineage: Eukaryota; Viridiplantae; Streptophyta; Magnoliopsida; Malpighiales; Euphorbiaceae. The record is from RNAcentral.